GACGAACGCUGGCGGCGUGCUUAACACAUGCAAGUCGAGCGGAAAGGCCACUUCGGUGGUACUCGAGCGGCGAACGGGUGAGUAACACGUGAGUAAUCUGCCCCUGGCUUUGGGAUAGCCACCGGAAACGGUGAUUAAUACCGGAUACGACCACUUCUCGCAUGGGAUGGUGGUGGAAAGUUUUUUCGGCCAGGGAUGUGCUCGCGGCCUAUCAGCUUGAUGGUGAGGUAAUGGCUCACCAUGGCUUCGACGGGUAGCCGGCCUGAGAGGGUGACCGGUCACACUGGGACUGAGACACUGCCCAGACUCCUACGGGAGGCAGCAGUGGGGAAUAUUGGACAAUGGGCGGAAGCCUGAUCCAGCAACGCCGCGUGAGGGAUGACUGCCUUCGGGUUGUAAACCUCUUUCAGCAGGGACGAAGCGCAAGUGACGGUACCUGCAGAAGAAGCACCGGCCAACUACGUGCCAGCCGCCGCGGUAA
Molecule: ribosomal RNA, 481 nt
Filed under: uncultured bacterium
Lineage: Bacteria
Description: partial 16S ribosomal RNA
Rfam family: Bacterial small subunit ribosomal RNA
Source: RNAcentral